This is a long non-coding RNA of Hirundo rustica (Barn swallow), 534 nucleotides long. RefSeq lists it as uncharacterized. The transcript has 4 exons. The record is from RefSeq and is a predicted model, not a curated record. Lineage: Eukaryota; Metazoa; Chordata; Aves; Passeriformes; Hirundinidae.
GAGACAAACAUUCUGAAGUUUCUGAUAAAGCAAUAAGGCUGGGUGAUUUAGUUUCUCCACCCAUGCCAGGGGUGAUGUUUGAAGCUGAUGGUCGUUACCUUUUUCUUUUUGUAGAUCAAAAUUCUUCUUUCAAGCUGUUUGACCACUGCCAAGGGCCUCUGGUUUAUCACUCUCCAUUACAGUGGUUUCUGUUUAACUCGCUGAAUGGCAGCCUGAUUCCUGGCAGCUACUUUAAAUCUGCACGACCAGAAAAGUUGGAAGGACAAGAGGGAGUGAAGAGCCCCAUGUGCUUUUUCAGAGGAAGAACUACUACAUCUUUUGCUAACGGCAUAAAUAAAUGCAUCAACUUCCAGCUCUUGUUCACAUGGUAGCUGCAAUAUAAUGGAGCCAUUACUGCGUCACACUGCUGCUGCCCAACUCCCGGCAUGCAGAUUGAACCUAUGCCCCAGGUGAUUCAUCAUGUUAUAAAGUUUGUUUGUUCUCUGGUCCAUGAGCAACACACUGUAAUAAAAUCUGGCUAUAGUUGUCAAAGAA